CCUACGGGACGCACCAGUAGGGAAUCUUCCGCAAUGGACGAAAGUCUGACGGAGCAACGCCGCGUGAGUGAUGAAGGCUUUCGGGUCGUAAAACUCUGUUGUUAGGGAAGAACAAGUGCUAGUUGAAUAAGCUGGCACCUUGACGGUACCUAACCAGAAAGCCACGGCUAACUACGUGCCAGCAGCCGCGGUAAUAUGUAGGUGGCAAGCGUUAUCCGGAAUUACCGGGCGUAAAGCGCGCGCAGGUGUUUCUUAAGUCUGAUGUGAAAGCCCACGGCUCAACCGUGGAGGGUCAUUGGAAACUGGGAGACUUGAGUGCAGAAGAGGAAAGUGGAAUUCCAUGUGUAGCGGUGAAAUGCGUAGAGAUAUGGAGGAACACCAGUGGCGAAGGCGACUUUCUGGUCUGUAACUGACACUGAGGCGCGAAAGCGUGGGGAGCAAACAGGAUUAGAUACCCUGGUAGUC
Molecule: ribosomal RNA, 465 nt
Filed under: uncultured bacterium
Lineage: Bacteria
Description: bacterial SSU rRNA
Rfam family: Bacterial small subunit ribosomal RNA
Source: RNAcentral